AUUGAACGCUGGCGGCAUGCUUUACACAUGCAAGUCGAACGGCAGCAUGGGUGCUUGCACCUGAUGGCGAGUGGCGAACGGGUGAGUAAUAUAUCGGAACAUGUCCGGAGGUGGGGGAUAACGUAGCGAAAGUUACGCUAAUACCGCAUAUGCCCUGAGGGGGAAAGGAGGGGAUCGUAAGACCUUUCGCUUUCGGAGUGGCCGAUAUCAGAUUAGCUAGUUGGUGAGGUAAAGGGUCACCAAGGCAACGAUCUGUAGCGGGUCUGAGAGGAUGAUCCGCCACACUGGGACUGAGACACGGCCCAGACUCCGACGGGAGGCAGCAGUGGGGAAUUUUGGACAAUGGGCGCAAGCCUGAUCCAGCCAUGCCGCGUGAGUGAAGAAGGCCUUCGGGUUGUAAAGCUCUUUCAGCCGGAAAGAAAUCAUGCUUACUAAUACUAAGUGUGGAUGACGGUACCGGAAGAAGAAGCACCGGCUAACUACGUGCCAGCCGCCGCAGUAA
RNAcentral lists this ribosomal RNA (502 nucleotides) under uncultured bacterium. RNAcentral's name for it is "partial 16S ribosomal RNA". It matches the Rfam family "Bacterial small subunit ribosomal RNA", at positions 30 to 523 of the family's 1533-position model. The record is from RNAcentral.